AGUCAUCAAAGAAGUGAAAGUUAAAAUCACAAUGAGAAACCAUCACACAUCACCUAGAAUAGGUAAAGUUAAAAAGACAUAUGAUAAGUCUUAAUAUUGGCAAGAAUAUGGAAAAAAUAGAAAUGUCUAAUAUUUCUGAUAGGAAUGCAAAAAAUAUUGCAACCAAUUUGUAAAGUGGUUUGGCAAUUUCUUCUGCAGCGACCCAUCUAUUAUGACAUGACCCAGCAAUUCCACAAAUAUCUAUUCAUCCAAAAGAAAUCAAAAUGUAAGGCCACACUUGGAAGAGUUAUUUAUAGUGGCUUCAUUAAUAAAAAACCCUAACUGGAGUAAUCCACAUGUCUAUCAAUUGGAGAAUAGAGAAACCAGGGAAUAAACUGGGAUUCUAGCAAUACUUGGCAGUUGCUCAGCAACAAAAGUGAAUGAAUGGCAUCACCUCAAACAUUGUUAUGCUGAGAGACCAAACAAAGGACUACAUACAAUAUGAUUACAUGUCCAUGAAAUUCUAGAAAUUACACUACUGCAGUGACAGAAAGCAGAGCAGUGACUGAGUGAAGGGAAGGGGUGAGGGUCGGAGGCAAGGAUUAAACUUUUUAGGGAAAAGAAACUGUUCUCUACAGUGUCACAAUUCAGGCGUUACUGGGCAGUGGGGAUUGAGGGAAGAGGAGGGUGUGAGGGAUGAGGGGGGCAGGGAGAAGGGCUGGAGAAGCAGGAGGUGAGGAAAAGGAACAUGGGAAUUCUAAAGCAGUGGAAGAGCCUAGCAGGGGUUUUUUUUCAUUCCUAUUUAAUACAUUUUGUGGGACUUCCUAAAAACUAAUGAUCUCCUCAUGAUUAAAAAAAAAGGUUACAAAAGUACCAAGUGUUCAAGUAAAAUAUGCACUCUGCUUAGAUGUGCAUAGCUCAGGAAAGCUGGCAGUACUUGAGGGCUGGUGAAGAGCAUUGGGACUGCAUGGAGCACUUGCAACUUUGAGUGAUGACUACAGGCUCCUGGUUCAAUACACGGUGACAAACCUGCUUCUUUGUAUGCAGCUGAUAUUCUGGACUCACACAGGGAAACUCCGACUAGGGAGUGAAGAUAAUUUUAAAUGCAACAACCCAGAGUCACAGAUCCAUAGUCUGGGAAAGUAAAACUUAGGAGCUUUGAGAGUUUAACUGUAAUGCUGUUUUGACACAGGUCUUUGACAGAUUGGAAUCCUAAUCAUUCAGGUAUUACAAUAUUGUGCUACCUACUGUAUUAACAAACAAAAAGGAAACUGGUCUCUA
Long non-coding RNA from Sapajus apella (tufted capuchin), 1260 nucleotides. RefSeq lists it as uncharacterized. The record is from RefSeq and is a predicted model, not a curated record. The transcript is spliced from 2 exons. NCBI's taxonomy places the organism in Eukaryota, Metazoa, Chordata, Mammalia, Primates, Cebidae.